This 447-nucleotide long non-coding RNA is filed under the name Coffea arabica (coffee). RNAcentral's name for it is "long non-coding RNA (CARA_LNC002144)". Lineage: Eukaryota; Viridiplantae; Streptophyta; Magnoliopsida; Gentianales; Rubiaceae. The record is from RNAcentral.
UGAGAUAAACGGCUAAUUAAUUGAAGUAAAAUUUAGACAGCAUUCUUUAACAGAAUAAAAAGAUUAACCAGUAUUAAGCUUGACAGGGGAUAUAAAAACGAUUUGAAUCAUCUGUUACACUUUAGGUGUUACCUUCCCUGUUACUAAGCCCACUGGAACCAGAACUACAACUUCAUGUAUUAUCCAAUCCAAACCAAUAUCAAAACUUUCAAAGAAACCAUCCGUCAAAAACUCCCAAUGUAAAGGAUCGUUGACGAUAAUCUGGUAUUUCGACUGGAAAUUCGAACUUCCCAACCUCAGCAGCUGACAAAUCGUACCAAGCCACAACAUGCCUAGGUUUUUCAUAAGCUGGCCAAUGGACGAUACCAUUAAGGAAGGUAUCUCUAGCUUCCAAGACCAUCCAUCCGUGCACUGAAAAUGUACCCGAUCUCUCGUUGUAUAAACCUC